UAGGCAGUGGGCAGGUAGGUAGGCAGUGGGCAGGUGGGCAGCGGGCAGGUAGGUAGGCAGCGGGCAGGUAGGUAGGCAGCGGGCAGGUAGGUAGGCAGCGGGCAGGCAGGCAGGCAGCGGCCAGGUAGGCAGGCAGCGGCCAGGUAGGUAGGCAGCGACCAGGUAGGUAGGCAGCAGCCAGGUAGGUAGGCAGGUAGGCAGGCAGCGGGCAGGCAGGCAGGCAGCGGGCAGGUAGGUAGGCAGGCAGGCAGCGGGCAGGUAGGUAGGCAGUUGACAGGUAGUUAGGCAGCGGGCAGGUAGGCAGUGGGCAGGCAGGUAGGCAGCGGCCAGGUAGGUAGGCAGCGGCAAGGUAGGUAGGCAGGGGCCAGGUAGGUAGGCAGCGGCCAGGUAGGCAAACAGUGAGAUAGAAAAUGUUGUCUUCAGUUCGUGCCAGC
Oncorhynchus tshawytscha (Chinook salmon) is the source of this 434-nucleotide long non-coding RNA. Lineage: Eukaryota; Metazoa; Chordata; Actinopteri; Salmoniformes; Salmonidae. The record is from Ensembl.